AACUCGAUCCUCAUGUUGUUAUACUGCGACGUGAUGACCUCCGGGACCUCGGUGCCGCAGUAUUUCCCGUGCAGCUUGGAGUCGGGCGACAGGCCGCUGCGCACCUCCACGUAGUCGUACUUGCACACCUGAUCGAGACACGCUCAAAGGCCUCGAACUGCAUGGAGAUGCGAUACUGCGUGGGGGCCACCACGUGCCACACGCAGUUCUUGUUGGGCGGGUACUCCUUGGGCCAGCCCGGCGUGCUGAUGGUGCCGUUCAGCUUGGACAGAAGACCGCCGCACGCCGCUGUUUGGAAGGAAGGGCGCACUUAGCCAGCCUCCAUCCCUUACACACUACAUCAUUAUGAAAAUGGUUCCUUGAACGGCAAUCAAGAUUUGGGGAGACUCGUUAAGGGAAAAGCGCUUCCGCACUUCCCGACACACAAGUUGAGGCACAAGAAAACCACAUGAAUGGAUUUCACUCGGCGCUGUUGACAAAACCACAACGUUGCUGUAAAUAGCACAAAGUCAAGCGUGCGUACGGAGAAGGUCAACAUCCACGCGCACUCACGGUAAUGCACCAAACUGCAGAUGGCCACAUCUUUUCUUCUAUGGUUUUGGAAUGAGAUGUUCUCAAUUCCAUUUGCCGUGUUUAUCUUCACAUUUGCCUCCUUCCUGUUUUAUGAAUGUUUUAAAUACCGUUUUUUUCCGUGUAUAGUGCGCCCCCAUGUAUAAUACGCACCCUAAAAAUGGCAU
Syngnathus typhle (broad-nosed pipefish) is the source of this 737-nucleotide long non-coding RNA. RefSeq lists it as uncharacterized. NCBI's taxonomy places the organism in Eukaryota, Metazoa, Chordata, Actinopteri, Syngnathiformes, Syngnathidae. The record is from RefSeq and is a predicted model, not a curated record. The transcript is spliced from 4 exons.